UAUCAAUAAGCGGAGGAAAAGAAACCAACAGGGAUUGCCCUAGUAACGGCGAGUGAAGCGGCAACAGCUCAAAUUUGAAAUCUGGCGCAAGCCCGAGUUGUAAUUUGUAGAGGAUGCUUCUGGGCAGCGGCCGGUCUAAGUUCCUUGGAACAGGACGUCACGGAGGGUGAGAAUCCCGUAUGUGACCGGCGCGCACCCUCCACGUAGCUCCUUCGACGAGUCGAGUUGUUUGGGAAUGCAGCUCUAAAUGGGAGGUAAAUUUCUUCUAAAGCUAAAUACCGGCCAGAGACCGAUAGCGCACAAGUAGAGUGAUCGAAAGAUGAAAAGCACUUUGGAAAGAGAGUUAAAAAGCACGUGAAAUUGUUGAAAGGGAAGCGCUUGCAACCAGACUCCGCGGCGGUGUUCCGCCGGUCUUCUGACCGGUCUACUCGCCGCCGCGGGGCCAACAUCGUCUGGGGCCGCCGGACAAGACUGGAGGAAUGUGGCUCCCUCGGGAGUGUUAUAGCCUUCAGUGAUGCGGCGCGUCCCGGGCGAGGUCCGCGCUUCGGCAAGGAUGUUGGCGUAAUGGUUGCCAGCGGCCCGUCUUGAAACACGGACCAAGGAGUCUAACAUCUAUGCGAGUGUUCGGGUGUCAAACCCCUACGCGUAAUGAAAGUGAACGGAGGUGGGAGCUUCGGCGCACCAUCGACCGAUCCUGAUGUCCUCGGAUGGAUUUGAGUAAGAGCAUAGCUGUUGGGACCCGAAAGAUGGUGAACUAUGCCUGAAUAGGGUGAAGCCAGAGGAAACUCUGGUGGAGGCUCGCAGCGGUUCUGACGUGCAAAUCGAUCGUCAAAUUUGGGUAUAGGGGGCGAAAGACUAAUCGAACCAUCUAGUAGCUGGUUCCUGC
Molecule: ribosomal RNA, 886 nt
Filed under: Microcyclosporella mali
Lineage: Eukaryota; Fungi; Ascomycota; Dothideomycetes; Mycosphaerellales; Mycosphaerellaceae
Description: LSU rRNA
Rfam family: Eukaryotic large subunit ribosomal RNA
Source: RNAcentral